GACGAACGCUGGCGGCGUGCUUAACACUUGCAAGUCGAACGGAAAGGCCCUGCUCUUGUGGGGUGCUCGAGUGGCGAACGGGUGAGUAACACGUGAGUAACCUGCCCUUGUCUUUGGGAUAACUUCAGGAAACUGGGGCUAAUACCGGAUAGGAGCUCCUGCUGCAUGGUGGGGGUUGGAAAGUUUCGGCGGUUGGGGAUGGACUCGCGGCUUAUCAGCUUGUUGGUGGGGUAGUGGCUUACCAAGGCUUUGACGGGUAGCCGGCCUGAGAGGGUGACCGGCCACAUUGGGACUGAGAUACGGCCCAGACUCCUACGGGAGGCAGCAGUGGGGAAUAUUACACAAUGGGCGGAAGCCUGAUGCAGCAACGCCGCGUGCGGGAUGACGGCCUUCGGGUUGUAAACCGCUUUCGCCUGUGACGAAGCGUGAGUGACGGUAAUGGGUAAAGAAGCACCGGCUAACUACGUG
Molecule: ribosomal RNA, 468 nt
Filed under: uncultured bacterium
Lineage: Bacteria
Description: partial 16S ribosomal RNA
Rfam family: Bacterial small subunit ribosomal RNA
Source: RNAcentral